This is a non-coding RNA of Xyrauchen texanus (razorback sucker), 360 nucleotides long. The record is from the annotation of a RefSeq genome assembly. NCBI's taxonomy places the organism in Eukaryota, Metazoa, Chordata, Actinopteri, Cypriniformes, Catostomidae.
AGCACAAUGAGCAUGUCAUGGAUUCUUCUAGUUGGGAUACUGGGGCUCUUUACUGAAGACUCUCAUCAAGAGGUCCAGUCUCCUGAAUCUCUGUCUGCUAAAGCAGAUGAAUCUGUCACUAUUAGUUGUACAGGGACUGAUGGAGUGGGUAAUGACAUGAGCUGGUAUCUGUUUAAACCUGAAGAAGCUCCUAAACUCCUGAUCUAUGAUGGAAGUAACUUGGAGUCUGGAGUUCCAGAUCGCUUCAGUGGAAGUGGAUCUGAGCCUCAUUUUACACUGACCAUAACAGGAGUUCAGCCUGAGGAUGCAGGAGAUUAUUACUGUAUGGGGGUUUAUGAAGGUCCAGUAUUCACACAGUGA